ACCCACGACGCUCACGGGGAUCACUGCUGGAGCCUUUUUUUAUUGUUAAACCCAUCGGUCCACCAAAAAAACAAAAACAAAAAAAAAAAACACUGAUGUUCAACAUUCUGGUGAAAUGGCUGUAUUUGCGUUCUUGCCGAGAGUUAGAUGAGAAGAAGGUGGAUACCGCGCUCUCGUGUCUGUACGGGUAAAGAUGCUAGCUUAGCUUAGCAACAAAGACCGGAAACAAGCGGGGUAGAUCGUACGGAGGGGGGGGGGGGGGGAAAUCACGUUGGGUUAAAAAACGAUGACUAUUUACAGGGAGUUGUGUGUGGGACAGUUUUUCCAGGAAGCUACUGCUGAGAAAUAGCUCGACACAUAACCACCCCCCUCCCCCCCAACCCUCGACACACACACACACACACUAAAACGGCAAGCUCCUGUUUUUACACUGGAUUAAACAACGAUAUAUAUGACGUGUACAUUCACCUUGGACAGAGCCAGGCAAGCCGUUUCACCUGUUUCCGGUCGUUAUGCUAAGCUAAGCUAAAUGGAGCUUAAUAUCGAUAUGUAAUAUGUCAUUGAUCUUCUCAUCUACCUCGCUUGGCAAGAAAGCAAUUCAUCG
Molecule: long non-coding RNA, 604 nt
Organism: Sander lucioperca (pikeperch)
Lineage: Eukaryota; Metazoa; Chordata; Actinopteri; Perciformes; Percidae
Exons: 2
Source: RefSeq, a predicted model, not a curated record